This 488-nucleotide ribosomal RNA is filed under the name uncultured Pseudomonadota bacterium. RNAcentral's name for it is "bacterial SSU rRNA". It matches the Rfam family "Bacterial small subunit ribosomal RNA", at positions 224 to 704 of the family's 1533-position model. The record is from RNAcentral. Lineage: Bacteria; Pseudomonadati; Pseudomonadota.
GGGCGGCCGAUGUCCGAUUAGCUAGUUGGUGGGGUAACGGCUCACCAAGGCGACGAUCGGUAGCUGGUCUGAGAGGAUGAUCAGCCACACUGGGACUGAGACACGGCCCAGACUCCUACGGGAGGCAGCAGUGGGGAAUUUUGGACAAUGGAGGCAACCCUGAUCCAGCCAUGCCGCGUGAGUGAAGAAGGCCUUCGGGUUGUAAAGCUCUUUUGGUCGGAAAGAAAGCCUACUCUUGAAUAAGGGGUGGGGUUGACGGUACCGACAGAAUAAGCACCGGCUAACUACGUGCCAGCAGCCGCGGUAAUACGUAGGGUGCGAGCGUUAAUCGGAAUUACUGGGCGUAAAGGGUGCGUAGGCGGUCUCGCAAGUCCGUUGUGAAAGCCCCGGGCUUAACCUGGGAAUGGCAGUGGAAACUAGGGGACUUGAAUCCGGCAGAGGGGGGUGGAAUUCCACGUGUAGCAGUGAAAUGCGUAGAGAUGUGGAGG